Molecule: ribosomal RNA, 373 nt
Filed under: Clostridioides difficile
Lineage: Bacteria; Bacillati; Bacillota; Clostridia; Peptostreptococcales; Peptostreptococcaceae
Description: bacterial LSU rRNA
Rfam family: Bacterial large subunit ribosomal RNA
Source: RNAcentral
GUAAUUCCGGUGAAGAUGCCGGAUACCUGCGACAGGACGGAAAGACCCCAUGGAGCUUUACUGUAGCUUGACAUUGGGUCUUGGUACUACAUGUACAGGAUAGGUGGGAGGCUUUGAAACCAGGACGCCAGGUUUGGCGGAGCCAUCCUUGGGAUACCACCCUUGUAGUACUGGGACUCUAACCAUAGGCCAUGAAUCUGGUCUUGGGACACUGUCAGGUGGGCAGUUUGACUGGGGCGGUCGCCUCCCAAAAGGUAACGGAGGCGCUCAAAGGUUCUCUCAGUACGGUCGGAAAUCGUACGUAGAGUGUAAAGGCAAAAGAGAGCUUGAUUGCAAGACAUACAGGUCGAGCAAGGAUGAAAAUCGGACUUAG